RNAcentral lists this long non-coding RNA (278 nucleotides) under Phoenix dactylifera (date palm). RNAcentral describes it as "long non-coding RNA (PDAC_LNC000462)". The record is from RNAcentral. Lineage: Eukaryota; Viridiplantae; Streptophyta; Magnoliopsida; Arecales; Arecaceae.
GAGAGUGGGAAUCUCUAUUCCGAAAAAGUGCAGGUGCUAAUCCGGAAAGGAGGGAAUGCGAGGAUCACUGGGAGAUCGCACGCGGGCUCGGAUGUUUGGGUGCAAAUGCGCUCGAUCAGAUCAUGGCAGGAUUGGGCCCGCGCGGUUUGGAGCCAUGAUGCAUCCCUCUAAACCCUACCAAAUGCGCAUUUAAACUUUAAUUUAUACUAACAUGUGCCAAACAAAAAUAUAAUAUUAACUUAGUGAUUUUAUCGUUAUAUGUUAGCAGUAAUACUAAU